GCGCCCGUAGCUCAAUUGGAUAGAGUACUCGGCUACGAACCGAGCGGUUGGGGGUUCGACUCCUCCCGGGCGCGCCA
RNAcentral lists this transfer RNA (77 nucleotides) under Thiomicrospira sp. WB1. RNAcentral describes it as "tRNA-Arg". It matches the Rfam family "tRNA". From Rfam's summary of the family: Transfer RNA (tRNA) molecules are approximately 80 nucleotides in length. Their secondary structure includes four short double-helical elements and three loops (D, anti-codon, and T loops). Further hydrogen bonds mediate the characteristic L-shaped molecular structure. tRNAs have two regions of fundamental functional importance: the anti-codon, which is responsible for specific mRNA codon recognition, and the 3' end, to which the tRNAs corresponding amino acid is attached (by aminoacyl-tRNA synthetases). tRNAs cope with the degeneracy of the genetic code in two manners: having more than one tRNA (with a specific anti-codon) for a particular amino acid; and 'wobble' base-pairing, i.e. permitting non-standard base-pairing at the 3rd anti-codon position. The record is from RNAcentral. Lineage: Bacteria; Pseudomonadati; Pseudomonadota; Gammaproteobacteria; Thiotrichales; Piscirickettsiaceae. RNAcentral also lists the same sequence under 1 other name.